RNAcentral lists this ribosomal RNA (253 nucleotides) under uncultured bacterium. RNAcentral's name for it is "partial 16S ribosomal RNA". It matches the Rfam family "Bacterial small subunit ribosomal RNA", at positions 524 to 776 of the family's 1533-position model. The record is from RNAcentral.
UACGAAGGGGGCUAGCGUUGUUCGGAAUUACUGGGCGUAAAGCGCACGUAGGCGGAUAUUUAAGUCAGGGGUGAAAUCCCAGAGCUCAACUCUGGAACUGCCUUUGAUACUGGGUAUCUUGAGUAUGGAAGAGGUAAGUGGAAUUCCGAGUGUAGAGGUGAAAUUCGUAGAUAUUCGGAGGAACACCAGUGGCGAAGGCGGCUCACUGGCCCGAUACUGACGCUGAGGCACGAAAGCGUGGGGAGCAAACAGG